RNAcentral lists this non-coding RNA (31 nucleotides) under Macaca fascicularis (crab-eating macaque). The record is from RNAcentral. Lineage: Eukaryota; Metazoa; Chordata; Mammalia; Primates; Cercopithecidae. RNAcentral also lists the same sequence under 1 other name.
UGCUAACUAUACCUGACAAGCCAUAAUGUAC